This 75-nucleotide transfer RNA is filed under the name Candidatus Coproplasma avistercoris. RNAcentral describes it as "tRNA-Glu". It matches the Rfam family "tRNA". Rfam says of the family: Transfer RNA (tRNA) molecules are approximately 80 nucleotides in length. Their secondary structure includes four short double-helical elements and three loops (D, anti-codon, and T loops). Further hydrogen bonds mediate the characteristic L-shaped molecular structure. tRNAs have two regions of fundamental functional importance: the anti-codon, which is responsible for specific mRNA codon recognition, and the 3' end, to which the tRNAs corresponding amino acid is attached (by aminoacyl-tRNA synthetases). tRNAs cope with the degeneracy of the genetic code in two manners: having more than one tRNA (with a specific anti-codon) for a particular amino acid; and 'wobble' base-pairing, i.e. permitting non-standard base-pairing at the 3rd anti-codon position. The record is from RNAcentral. Lineage: Bacteria; Bacillati; Bacillota; Clostridia; Eubacteriales.
GGCCUUGUGGUCAAGCGGCUAAGACGGAGCCCUCUCAAGGCUCAAUCCCGGGUUCGAUUCCCGGCAAGGUCACCA